AUUGAACUGAAGAGUUUGAUCCUGGCUCAGAUUGAACGCUGGCGGCAUGCCUUACACAUGCAAGUCGAACGGCAGCACGGGUGCUUGCACCUGGUGGCGAGUGGCGAACGGGUGAGUAAUACAUCGGAACAUGUCC
RNAcentral lists this ribosomal RNA (136 nucleotides) under Burkholderia gladioli. Its description in RNAcentral is "partial 16S ribosomal RNA". It matches the Rfam family "Bacterial small subunit ribosomal RNA", at positions 1 to 131 of the family's 1533-position model. Lineage: Bacteria; Pseudomonadati; Pseudomonadota; Betaproteobacteria; Burkholderiales; Burkholderiaceae. The record is from RNAcentral.